CCUACGGGCGGCAGCAGUGAGGAAUCUUGGUCAAUGGGCGCGAGCCUGAACCAGCCAAGCCGCGUGAAGGAUGAAUGUCCUCCGGGUUGUAAACUUCUUUUUUAAAGGAAUACAGUGAGGCACGUGUCUCUUCUUGUAUGUACUUUAUGCAUAAGGAUCGGCUAACUCCGUGCCAGCAGCCCCGGUAAUACGGAGGAUACGAGCGUUAUCCGGAUUUAUUGGGUUUAAAGGGAGCGUAGGUGGGUUGUUAAGUCAGUUGUGAAAGUCUGCGGCUCAACCGUACAAUUGCAAUUGAUACUGGCAGUCUUGAGUACAGUAGAGGAAGGUGGAAUUCGUGGUGUAGCGGUGAAAUGCGUAGAGAUCACGAAGAACUCCGAUUGCGAAGGCAGCUUACUAAUCUGCCACUGACGUUGAUGCGCGAAAGUGUGGGUAUCAAACAGGAUUAGAUACCCCUGUAGUC
Molecule: ribosomal RNA, 460 nt
Filed under: uncultured bacterium
Lineage: Bacteria
Description: partial 16S ribosomal RNA
Rfam family: Bacterial small subunit ribosomal RNA
Source: RNAcentral